GCGAUGGAGCAACGCUGUCUUUUGCUUCCCCACUCACAGCGGCGGCGACGGGACACCGACGCCUCCACCUUCCCUAGCCUCCUCGGCAAUGGCGAUGAAUAAGACAAAAAAAGGUUAAAAAAUCAUCUCCUCCUCUUUACCCCUCUAUCCUCUCGACUUUAACCAGAUUCAUGCUUGUAUGUUAUCAGAGGAUGCCUCUAGAGAUUCCUCCUGCGACAUGCAAGCCCCGAUCUACAGAUCUAUGGUGUGAUUGAUGUUUAUUCCUCUCUCUAACUUUUGCUUUCUCUUUUUUUUGUUUUAUCUCCUUUUUGGGGUUCAUGAUCGAUGGAGAGAAAAGAGGAUGAGACUUCGCCUCUGACGACGUGGCCGGCGACCGGAGAUGAGACGAAGAGAGAGGGGGAAAGCCAGGUAAAAAACAUUGUUUUAUUUUUUGAUUAAUCCCUAUUUAGCAUAUAAUGAAACUAAUAAAUUUUUUUGAUUCUCUCCAGGUCUACAGCAAUGGGUAGAUCCGAUUUGCUCGAGGAAAUCGGAAGAAAAAGGAAAAAUUCCCUUUGGAAAGAUAAACUAACACAUUGAACUGCUCUAAUUUUGUUGGGUAAGAAGAGAAGAUUUCGUCAUUUGAUUAAGUUGCUAGAAGUACAUGAAAACUUGACUGUUUUGUCUAUUGAAAUUAAACCGAUAAUCUAAAAGCUUAUGAAAAUGACUUUCUGUUUGAAAAGUUGAACCACUUUACCACUUUUAAUAAAAUUCCAGGACCAGCAUUUAAUAAAAAACCCCAUGUUUUAACUCAAUUUUUAUGAGUAAUUUUAUAGUUCUUGAGUUCCUGGUGCAAAUGGUGCAAAAAGAGUGAUUGAAGGUCACUUAGUGUUUUGUUAACGUAUUUUUCAACAACUUUUGUUUGUUUUACUUAUUUUACUUAUUAGUUUACUGUUUGCUAGGAUGAACUAUUUAUCCACUUGGUUGUAAUGAAUAUUAGAUUUAAAGGUAGCUUAGAUGGUGAUAUGCAACAUAGCAUAACAAGCACAUCAAUAUGUGUGAGCCUAGAGUAUGAAUGAUAUGUGAAUGAUCGAGAAUAGAGAUUUUUUUAAAUGAUAUACCUUUAAUAAGAAGCUUUUUCCUUUGUCGGUUCCUUCCCUGUUUCCUAACUUCUGGGACGUCUAGACUUCCUUCUUUGGCGGCUCCUUCGUGGGUAACGACAAAAGGAAGAGAUUUAUAAUUUUAUUUUUGGUGUUUUGUAGUAUUUAUUUUUGGGACUUUGUGGAUUGAGAAUGUUUAUAUUUUUUUGAGAUUUUGAGG
RNAcentral lists this long non-coding RNA (1296 nucleotides) under Linum usitatissimum (flax). RNAcentral's name for it is "long non-coding RNA (LUSI_LNC006438)". The record is from RNAcentral. Lineage: Eukaryota; Viridiplantae; Streptophyta; Magnoliopsida; Malpighiales; Linaceae.